AUUGAACGCUGGCGGCAUGCUUUACACAUGCAAGUCGAACGGCAGCGGGGACUUCGGUCCGCCGGCGAGUGGCGAACGGGUGAGUAAUGCAUCGGAACGUGCCUAUCAGUGGGGGAUAACGCUUCGAAAGGAGUGCUAAUACCGCAUAUUCUCUGAGGAGGAAAGCGGGGGGACCUUAGGGCCUUGCGCUGAUAGAGCGGCCGAUGUCGGAUUAGCUAGUUGGUGAGGUAAAGGCUCACCAAGGCGACGAUCCGUAGCGGGUCUGAGAGGAUGAUCCGCCACACUGGGACUGAGACACGGCCUAGACUCCUACGGGAGGCAGCAGUGGGGAAUUUUGGACAAUGGGCGAAAGCCUGAUCCAGCCAUGCCGCGUGAGUGAAGAAGGCCUUCGGGUUGUAAGACGUCUUUUGUUCCGGGUAGGGAAAGUACCUGGCCGUCUAUACAGUCGGGAGUGACAGUACU
Molecule: ribosomal RNA, 462 nt
Filed under: uncultured bacterium
Lineage: Bacteria
Description: bacterial SSU rRNA
Rfam family: Bacterial small subunit ribosomal RNA
Source: RNAcentral